Molecule: ribosomal RNA, 208 nt
Filed under: uncultured bacterium
Lineage: Bacteria
Description: partial 16S ribosomal RNA
Rfam family: Bacterial small subunit ribosomal RNA
Source: RNAcentral
CGCGUAGGUGGCUUAGAAAGCGCGUGGUGAAAGCCCGGGGCUUAACCCCGGGUCUGCCGUGCGAACUACUAUGGCUAGAGGACUGUAGAGGCAAGUUGAAUUCCGGGUGUAGCGGUGGAAUGCGUAGAGAUCCGGAAGAAUACCGGUGGCGAAGGCGGCUUGCUGGGCAGUUUCUGACACUGAGGCGCGACAGCGUGGGGAGCAAACA